UACGGGGGGGGCAAGCGUUGUUCGGAAUUACUGGGCGUAAAGGGUUUGUAGGUGGCUUGCUAAGUCAGACGUGAAAUCCCUCAGCUUAACUGGGGAACUGCGUCUGAUACUGGCGAGCUUGAGUGCAGGAGAGGAACGCGGAAUUCCAGGUGUAGCGGUGAAAUGCGUAGAUAUCUGGAGGAAUACCGGUGGCGAAGGCGGCAUCCUGGACCAUUACUGACGCUGAGGCGCGAAAGCUAGGGGAGCAAACGGG
RNAcentral lists this ribosomal RNA (253 nucleotides) under uncultured bacterium. RNAcentral describes it as "partial 16S ribosomal RNA". It matches the Rfam family "Bacterial small subunit ribosomal RNA", at positions 524 to 776 of the family's 1533-position model. The record is from RNAcentral.